This 497-nucleotide ribosomal RNA is filed under the name uncultured bacterium. RNAcentral's name for it is "partial 16S ribosomal RNA". It matches the Rfam family "Bacterial small subunit ribosomal RNA", at positions 28 to 507 of the family's 1533-position model. The record is from RNAcentral.
GAUGAACGCUGGCGGCGUGCCUAAUACAUGCAAGUCGAGCGAACAGACGAGGAGCUUGCUCCUCUGACGUUAGCGGCGGACGGGUGAGUAACACGUGGAUAACCUACCUAUAAGACUGGGAUAACUUCGGGAAACCGGAGCUAAUACCGGAUAAUAUAUUGAACCGCAUGGUUCAAUAGUGAAAGACGGUUUUGCUGUCACUUAUAGAUGGAUCCGCGCCGCAUUAGCUAGUUGGUAAGGUAACGGCUUACCAAGGCAACGAUGCGUAGCCGACCUGAGAGGGUGAUCGGCCACACUGGAACUGAGACACGGUCCAGACCCCUACGGGAGGCAGCAGUAGGGAAUCUUCCGCAAUGGGCGAAAGCCUGACGGAGCAACGCCGCGUGAGUGAUGAAGGUCUUCGGAUCGUAAAUCUCUGUUAUUAGGGAAGAACAAAUGUGUAAGUAACUAUGCACGUCUUGACGGUACCUAAUCAGAAAGCCACGGCUAACUACGUG